GCGAACGCGAUGAGAGGAACUAGUAGCAGGCAUUCCUCCUUUCAGAGAGCCGGUGGGUGGUGCGAAUCGGCAGGCGGCGCCUGUGAAUCCAUCCUCGAGCAAAAUGCUGAACACCUAAGCGGUCAGUAGGCGUUUUCGGCAGCCGCCGUUAUCGGCAUGAGCGGAAGGCAUGAUGAGCCUUCAAUAAGGGUGGCACCGCGGGAUGGCUCCCGUCCCUUUU
This 220-nucleotide non-coding RNA is filed under the name Geobacillus sp. Its description in RNAcentral is "T-box sequence". It matches the Rfam family "T-box leader". From Rfam's summary of the family: Uncharged tRNA acts as the effector for transcription antitermination of genes in the T-box leader family. T-boxes are found upstream of many aminoacyl-tRNA synthetase genes and some amino acid biosynthetic genes usually in Gram-positive bacteria. The anticodon of a specific tRNA base pairs to a specifier sequence within the T-box motif, and the NCCA acceptor tail of the tRNA base pairs to a conserved bulge in the T-box antiterminator hairpin. Lineage: Bacteria; Bacillati; Bacillota; Bacilli; Caryophanales; Anoxybacillaceae. The record is from RNAcentral.